Molecule: small nuclear RNA, 100 nt
Organism: Ursus americanus (American black bear)
Lineage: Eukaryota; Metazoa; Chordata; Mammalia; Carnivora; Ursidae
Source: Ensembl
UUCAUGAUGAAACAUGUCCAAAGCAGAAUCAGAAACUAAUGUCUUAGCAUGGCCCCUGCGCAAGGAUGACACGCAAAUUCGUGAAGCGUUCCAUAUUUAA